This 432-nucleotide ribosomal RNA is filed under the name uncultured bacterium. Its description in RNAcentral is "partial 16S ribosomal RNA". It matches the Rfam family "Bacterial small subunit ribosomal RNA", at positions 338 to 795 of the family's 1533-position model. The record is from RNAcentral.
CCUACGGGAGGCAGCAGUUAGGAAUCUUGCGCAAUGGGGGAAACCCUGACGCAGCCAUGCCGCGUGAAUGAUGAAGGUCUUAGGAUUGUAAAAUUCUUUCAGCGGGGACGCGGUACCCGCAGAAGAAGCCCCGGCUAACUUCGUGCCAGCAGCCGCGGUAAUACGAAGGGGGCUAGCGUUGCUCGGAAUUACUGGGCGUAAAGGGCGCGUAGGCGGAUGUUUAAGUCAGCGGUGAAAGCCCAGGGCUCAACCUUGGAACUGCCAUUGAUACUGGACAUCUUGAGUACGGGAGAGGUGAGUGGAACACCGAGUGUAGAGGUGAAAUUCGUAGAUAUUCGGUAGAACACCAGUGGCGAAGGCGACUCACUGGCCCGUACUGACGCUGAGGCGCGAAAGCGUGGGGAGCAAACAGGAUUAGAUACCCUUGUAGUC